This 308-nucleotide ribosomal RNA is filed under the name uncultured eukaryote. RNAcentral's name for it is "partial large subunit ribosomal RNA". The record is from RNAcentral.
CGCUGUUACUGCCAGGGCAAGCCAACCGCGAAGAGACCAAGAAAGCCCAGAGGCUGAAGAAGAUUCCCCUUACCAGCCGCGAAACCAGCGAUCUGAUCAUGAUGGGCAUUGGCGCUUUCACUCCGCCUCGAUGAUUCAUGGGCAACGAGGAUUGGAAAAGCUGCUGCGAUGAAUACCAACUGCCCAGCAAGGACGGUGUGUUCUGGCCCAUUCCCAUCACGCUCUCAGCAAACGAAGAACUGGCGAAAUCCAUCCUCCAAAGGGAGGAAGUAGCCCUGUGGGAUGGCGAGACCGAUAGCGCACAAGUA